ACACCAUCUUGUUUCAUAGCACAUCAGCUAGAUUCUGCUUUCAUUUCAAGCCCAAUUGCAAUCCUACGAGUGACUAGAGACAAAGGCAAAAGACCUCAGCAUCAUCUUCCUGCAGAA
This is a long non-coding RNA of Amphimedon queenslandica, 117 nucleotides long. RefSeq lists it as uncharacterized. The transcript is spliced from 3 exons. The record is from RefSeq and is a predicted model, not a curated record. NCBI's taxonomy places the organism in Eukaryota, Metazoa, Porifera, Demospongiae, Haplosclerida, Niphatidae.